This 253-nucleotide ribosomal RNA is filed under the name uncultured bacterium. Its description in RNAcentral is "partial 16S ribosomal RNA". It matches the Rfam family "Bacterial small subunit ribosomal RNA", at positions 524 to 776 of the family's 1533-position model. The record is from RNAcentral.
UACGUAGGGUGCGAGCGUUGUCCGGAAUUAUUGGGCGUAAAGAGCUCGUAGGCGGUUUGUCACGUCUGCUGUGAAAUCCCGAGGCUCAACCUCGGGCCUGCAGUGGGUACGGGCAGACUGGAGUGCGGUAGGGGAGAAUGGAAUUCCUGGUGUAGCGGUGGAAUGCGCAGAUAUCAGGAGGAACACCGGUGGCGAAGGCGGCGACCUGGGUAGAUACUGACGCUGAGGUGCGAAAGCGUGGGGAGCAAACAGG